Molecule: unclassified non-coding RNA, 242 nt
Filed under: fungal sp.
Lineage: Eukaryota; Fungi
Also listed under: 1 other name
Description: partial internal transcribed spacer region
Source: RNAcentral
AAGUCGUAACAAGGUUACCGUCGGGGAACCAGCGGUAGGAUCAUUAGUGCCGAAACAAACGCGAAAUGUGGUGGGGCUGCGGCCGGCCUGUUGUGGGCUCCUCGGGGUACCAUUUGGGCGGGCCAAAGUCUCUCAUUUUUUUCAACCCACAUCACGGCGCAAACCGUCUUGUAUGCACAUGAAAAUUCUUCUUAUUUAGAACUAAGAAAUCACAACUGGCAACGGUGGAUCUCUUGGCUCGU